This 253-nucleotide ribosomal RNA is filed under the name uncultured bacterium. RNAcentral describes it as "partial 16S ribosomal RNA". It matches the Rfam family "Bacterial small subunit ribosomal RNA", at positions 524 to 776 of the family's 1533-position model. The record is from RNAcentral.
UAUGGAGGGUGCAAGCGUUAUCCGGAUUCACUGGGUUUAAAGGGUGCGUAGGUGGGCAGGUAAGUCAGUGGUGAAAUCUCCGGGCUUAACCCGGAAACUGCCAUUGAUACUAUUUGUCUUGAAUACUGUGGAGGUCAGCGGAAUAUGUCAUGUAGCGGUGAAAUGCUUAGAUAUGACAUAGAACACCAAUUGCGAAGGCAGCUGGCUACACAAAUAUUGACACUGAGGCACGAAAGCGUGGGGAUCAAACAGG